This 754-nucleotide long non-coding RNA is filed under the name Marmota monax (woodchuck). The record is from RNAcentral. Lineage: Eukaryota; Metazoa; Chordata; Mammalia; Rodentia; Sciuridae.
GUGCGGUUUGCUCCCGAUUUCCACAUGAGAGGGGUGGACUCACCUGGGCGGUGGAAACCCAGGGCCCAGGUCCCCUGCCCUGAAGCAACAUCUCACCUUCGCAGAGUGACCCACGGGGAGCUCUCCCCUCGCAGAGCCUCUUGCCCUCCCUGCCCAGAGAUCACGGCAUCCCACCUGGUCACCUUGAUGCUCCGGAGGUGAUCAGAGGUCGGCUGGGAGAACGACCUGCCCCACACCUCCAUUUUCUAGCGGGGUGGGGGGGACUGAAUGCCGAGAACUGGAGGGCUGGCUGAGGGGACAGGCUUGGACCUCGACCUCCCAGACAGCAUCAUGCAGGUUCUGUUGGUGUGCAGCCUGACUUCUCAUUUCCGUGUGCCAGCUGCCUGAAGUGGACCCCGCCCCAUGGUCCCCUGAGAGAUGGGAAAUCACUUCAGAUGCCAACAUCUCACUUGGCCUAGGACUUGGGGGCCACCUCAGCCCCCACACUCCACGUCAUCAAAGAGGGUAGAUGCCCUCACAAGGCCCUGCCCAGCGGUGGGGACAGACAGUGCUGAGACGUGCCCAUCUCUUUGUACGCUGCAAGACACAGCAUCUCUGGACCGGCCUGCAGUCCCAUCUGCCUGGCUGUUUACCCGUCUCUUCUCGGCAGAGGGCCAGCAGUCUGCUUAUUCAUUUUUAACCUAGCAGAGCUUCUUCCCCUGCCCACAGUGCUUCUGAGGAGGCUAUUAUCUUUGAACAAUCAAUGCUUGGCAGC